GACGAACCGAGCGAACGUUGUUCGGAAUCACUGGGCUUAAAGGGCGCGUAGGCGGUCACGCACGUCCGUUGUGAAAUCGCUCGGCUCAACUGGGCGGGGUCAGCGGAUACGGCGUGGCUGGAGCAAGCUAGGGGGCAAUGGAAUUCCCGGUGUAGUGGCGGAAUGCGUAGAUAUCGGGAGGAACACCAGUGGCGAAGGCGGUUGCCUGGAGCUUUGCUGACGCUGAUGCGCGAAAGCGUGGGGAGCGAUCCGG
This 253-nucleotide ribosomal RNA is filed under the name uncultured bacterium. RNAcentral's name for it is "partial 16S ribosomal RNA". It matches the Rfam family "Bacterial small subunit ribosomal RNA", at positions 524 to 776 of the family's 1533-position model. The record is from RNAcentral.